This 464-nucleotide ribosomal RNA is filed under the name uncultured bacterium. Its description in RNAcentral is "partial 16S ribosomal RNA". It matches the Rfam family "Bacterial small subunit ribosomal RNA", at positions 339 to 795 of the family's 1533-position model. The record is from RNAcentral.
CUACGGGAUGCACCAGUUAGGGAUAUUCGGCAAUGGGGGAAACCCUGACCGAGCAAUGCCGCGUGAAUGAAGAAGUAUUUCGAUAUGUAAAGUUCUGUUGUUAAGGAAGAAAGGUACGAAUAGGAAAUGAUUCGUAAUUGACGGUACUUAACCAGAAAGCCCCUGCUAACUACGUGCCAGCAGCAGCGGUAAUACGUAGGGGGCGAGCGUUAUCCGGAAUUAUUGGGCGUAAAGGGUGCGUAGGCGGCCUGUCAAGUCCGAGUUGAAAGCCCACGGCUUAACCGUGGAGGGUGCUCGGAAACUGAUAGGCUUGAAUCCAGAAGAGGCAAGUGGAAUUCGAUGUGGAGCGGUGGAAUGCGUAGAUAUAUGGAGGAACACCAGUGGCGAAGGCGGCUUGCUGGGCUGGUAUUGACGCUGAUGCACGAAAGCGUGGGGAGCAAACAGGAUUAGAUACCCGGGUAGUC